RNAcentral lists this ribosomal RNA (108 nucleotides) under uncultured eukaryote. Its description in RNAcentral is "partial 18S ribosomal RNA". It matches the Rfam family "Eukaryotic small subunit ribosomal RNA", at positions 1299 to 1458 of the family's 1831-position model. The record is from RNAcentral.
UGGUGGAGCGAUUUGUCUGGUUAAUUCCGUUAACAAACGAGACCUCAGCCUGCUAACUAGCUAUGCGGAGGAAUCCCGUUUAGGCCACGGAAGUUUGAGGCAAUAACA